GAUGAAGAACGCAGCGAAAUGCGAUAAGUAAUGUGAAUUGCAGAAUUCAGUGAAUCAUCGAAUCUUUGAACGCACAUUGCGCCCGCCAGUACUCUGGCGGGCAUGCCUGUUCGAGCGUCAUUUCAACCAUCAAGCCCCCGGCUUGUGUUGGGGACCUGCGGCUGCCGCAGGCCCUGAAAACCAGUGGCGGGCUCGCUAGUCACUCCGAGCGUAGUAAUACAUCUCGCUCAGGGCGUGCUGCGGGUUCCGGCCGUUAAAAAAGCCUUAUUUACCCAAGGUUGACCUCGGAUCAGGUAGGAAGACCCGCUGAACUUAAGCAUAUCAAUAAGCGGAGGA
RNAcentral lists this unclassified non-coding RNA (336 nucleotides) under soil metagenome. RNAcentral's name for it is "partial contains 5.8S ribosomal RNA, internal transcribed spacer 2, and large subunit ribosomal RNA". The stretch from base 1 to 120 matches the Rfam family "5.8S ribosomal RNA", at positions 35 to 154 of the family's 154-position model. The record is from RNAcentral.